RNAcentral lists this unclassified non-coding RNA (390 nucleotides) under uncultured fungus. RNAcentral's name for it is "partial contains small subunit ribosomal RNA, internal transcribed spacer 1, and 5.8S ribosomal RNA". The stretch from base 1 to 73 matches the Rfam family "Eukaryotic small subunit ribosomal RNA", at positions 1759 to 1831 of the family's 1831-position model. Lineage: Eukaryota; Fungi. The record is from RNAcentral.
GCAAACUUGGUCAUUUAGAGGAAGUAAAAGUCGUAACAAGGUUUCCGUAGGUGAACCUGCGGAAGGAUCAUUAAUGAGUUUUGAAAGCGGGUCUGUUGCUGGCGUGGAAAUGCGCAUGUGCACGGCUUCGUGCUCAAUUCGCUUAACUCCUGUGCACCUUUGCAAAGUGAGUAAGCUUCGUCCUUUGGAGUAUGAAGUAACGAGUAGGGUGAGCGUGCGUGGGUACCAGUAGCCUGAAAGUGAACGUGCUCCAUUUUAAGAACGUGGCUGAAAACUUUGAUUCUUCAUCAAUCCUUCGUAUGUUUUGUGAAUGUGUUGCUCUUUGUGAGCGAAAUGAAUACAACUUUCAACAACGGAUCUCUUGGCUCUCGCAUCGAUGAAGAACGCAGC